UACGAAGGGUGCAAGCGUUACUCGGAAUUACUGGGCGUAAAGCGUGCGUAGGCGGUCUGUUAAGUCCGUUGUGAAAGCCCUGGGCUCAACCUGGGAAUUGCAGUGGAUACUGGCGGGCUAGAGUGCGGUAGAGGAUGGUGGAAUUCCCGGUGUAGCGGUGAAAUGCGUAGAGAUCGGGAGGAACACCCGUGGCGAAGGCGGCCAUCUGGACCAGCACUGACGCUGAGGCACGAAAGCGUGGGGAGCAAACAGGAUUAGAUACCCUGGUAGUCCACGCCCUAAACGAUGCGAACUGGACGUUGGGUGGACUUAGCCACUCAGUGUCGAAGCUAACGCGUUAAGUUCGCCGCCUGGGGAGUACGGUCGCAAGACUGAAACUCAAAG
This 384-nucleotide ribosomal RNA is filed under the name uncultured bacterium. Its description in RNAcentral is "bacterial SSU rRNA". It matches the Rfam family "Bacterial small subunit ribosomal RNA", at positions 524 to 906 of the family's 1533-position model. The record is from RNAcentral.